AAAAUCUGUUUGGUAUAUGAAGAAAGAAAGUGUCAAUGUAUGAGCAGUAGACCAAUGUGGAAUUCUUCAAAGUCUUGCCUCAAUACUUCAUCCUGAUUUCUGAACUCAUAGAUGUUUGUCAUAUCCAGCUGCCUUUAUAAAGAGAAGCGUGUUGUUCUGUCUCAGUGUCAUAGAUAGUAGGGAAGAAGGAUAGAAGAGCAGUAUGGAUGGAAGUGAUCCACUGGGUCCUUAUGACAGUGAAUGAAGACACCAUUGGAGGAGAGAAAAUGUACAAAACUUGCAGAUAGACCAGACCUUAUUGGAUUUGUUAUGAUAUUCUGAUAAUUUCUGAAAUGCAAAAUAAGCCUUCUUUAGAAAGAGGCAGAAGGACAGAC
RNAcentral lists this small RNA (374 nucleotides) under Rattus norvegicus (Norway rat). RNAcentral describes it as "uncharacterized LOC103691402". Lineage: Eukaryota; Metazoa; Chordata; Mammalia; Rodentia; Muridae. The record is from RNAcentral.